RNAcentral lists this ribosomal RNA (667 nucleotides) under uncultured cyanobacterium. RNAcentral's name for it is "bacterial SSU rRNA". It matches the Rfam family "Bacterial small subunit ribosomal RNA", at positions 99 to 795 of the family's 1533-position model. Lineage: Bacteria; Bacillati; Cyanobacteriota. The record is from RNAcentral.
CGGACGGGUGAGUAACGCGUGAGAACCUACCCUUUGGAGAGGGAUAGCCACUGGAAACGGUGAUUAAUACCUCGUAUGCUGAGGAGUGAAAGGUCGAAAGACCGCCAAGGGAUGGGCUUGCGUCUGAUUAGCUCGUUGGUGGGGUAAAGGCCUACCAAGGCGAUGAUCAGUAGCUGGUCUGAGAGGACAAUCAGCCACACUGGGACUGAGACACGGCCCAGACUCCUACGGGAGGCAGCAGUGAGGAAUUUUCCGCAAUGGGCUAACGCCUGACGAAGCAAUGCCGCGUGGAGGAGGAAGGCCUGUGGGUCGUAAACUCCUUUUCUCAGAGAAGAAGUUCUGACGGUAUCUGAGGAAUAAGCAUCGGCUAACUCCGUGCCAGCAGCCGCGGUAAUACGGGGGAUGCAAGCGUUAUCCGGAAUUAUUGGGCGUAAAGCGUCCCGAGGUGGCUUACCUAGUCGACUGUGAAAGCUCAAGGCUUAACCUUGAAACUGCAGUCGAAACUUGUAAGCUUGAGUACGGUAGAGGCAGAGGGAAUUCCCGGAGGAGAGGUGAAAUUCGUAGAUAUCGGGAGGAAGGCCAAAGGCGAAAGCACUCUGCUGGGCCGAUUACUGACACUAACAGACGAAAGCUAGGGGAGCGAAUGGGAUUAGAUACCCCUGUAGUC